RNAcentral lists this transfer RNA (63 nucleotides) under Aesa media. RNAcentral's name for it is "tRNA-Phe". The record is from RNAcentral. Lineage: Eukaryota; Metazoa; Arthropoda; Insecta; Coleoptera; Cerambycidae.
AUCCAAAUAGCUUAUUAAGAGCGUAGCCCUGAAGUUGCUAAGGAAAUUUAUAAUUUUUGGAUA